GAUGAACGCUAGCUACAGGCUUAACACAUGCAAGUCGCAGGGUAACAUGAGGAAAGCUUGCUUUCCUUGAUGACGACUGGCGCACGGGUGAGUAACGCGUAUCCAACCUUCCCAUAACUACGGGAUAACCCGUUGAAAGACGGCCUAAUACCGUAUGAUAUCGUUUGCUGACAUCAAAUAACGAUUAAAGGUUUAGCGGUUAUGGAUGGGGAUGCGUCUGAUUAGCUUGUUGGCGGGGUAACGGCCCACCAAGGCGACGAUCAGUAGGGGUUCUGAGAGGAAGGUCCCCCACAUUGGAACUGAGACACGGUCCAAACUCCUACGGGAGGCAGCAGUGAGGAAUAUGGGUCAAUGGGCGAGAGCCUGAACCAGCCAAGUAGCGUGCAGGAUGACGGCCCUAUGGGUUGUAAACUGCUUUUAUGUGGGGAUAAAGUGCGUGACGUGUCAUGCAUUGCAGGUACCACAUGAAUAAGGACCGGCUAAUUCCGUGCCAGCAGCCGCGGUAAUACGGAAGGUCCGGGCGUUAUCCGGAUUUAUUGGGUUUAAAGGGAGCGUAGGCUGUCUAUUAAGCGUGUUGUGAAAUAUACCGGCUCAACCGGUGGCUUGCAGCGCGAACUGGUCGACUUGAGUAUGCAGGAAGUAGGCGGAAUUCAUGGUGUAGCGGUGAAAUGCUUAGAUAUCAUGACGAACUCCGAUUGCGCAGGCAGCUUACUGUAGCAUAACUGACGCUGAUGCUCGAAAGUGCGGGUAUCAAACAGG
RNAcentral lists this ribosomal RNA (759 nucleotides) under uncultured Prevotella sp. RNAcentral describes it as "bacterial SSU rRNA". It matches the Rfam family "Bacterial small subunit ribosomal RNA", at positions 28 to 776 of the family's 1533-position model. The record is from RNAcentral. Lineage: Bacteria; Pseudomonadati; Bacteroidota; Bacteroidia; Bacteroidales; Prevotellaceae.